Molecule: long non-coding RNA, 1372 nt
Filed under: Ficedula albicollis (Collared flycatcher)
Lineage: Eukaryota; Metazoa; Chordata; Aves; Passeriformes; Muscicapidae
Description: lncRNA (ENSFALG00000027275.1)
Source: RNAcentral
CCCCCCCCCCCCCCCCCCCCCCCCCCCCCCCCCCCCCCCCCCCCCCCCCCCCCCCCCCCCCCCCCCGCCCGCAGGCCGCGCACCGCACCGCACCGCGCCGCGCCGCGCGGGCGGGGCUCCGGGGAAAUCGCGGGCAAAACGCCGGGAUUGGAGAGUGUGGAGAUUGCAGGAAGAUGGAUUCUCCAGCCAGUUCCGCCACCACAGGCUGCGGAUCCCGAGCCCAUUGAACCCUCCAGGACCUGGACACUGGACCUGCCGUCCUGCCUUCUCCCUUAUCUCGGUGCUUGGCAGGUGCCAUGGAUUUCACACUUCCACUGACCUCUGAGCGCUGCCAAAGCCAGGGAGGCACAUCGGGCAGAUAACGUGUCCCCAGUGUCCCCAUUCCACCUCUGCCUUCCCGAGUCCCUUAGGCUCUGGGGAGAGUUACUUAAAAAUAUGCCAGAUUUAAGGUCUGUCUGAAGUCAAAUAAAAAUUCUGCAUUGUUUAAAUCACAUUUCCGUGGCCUUCAUAUUUAAUAAAGGAGUUGUAUUCUUGUAGCAUAAAAAUCUAAAUGACACAUAGAGCACGUAUACUAUCUACUACACGUAUUUUACUUUCAUAUACAGUACGCCUGCAUAAUUUCCCAUCAAAUUUCCAUUUUGGAGGUUUCCAUGAAUUAGAAGCAAACCCAUGACCUUGAAAAUAAGUUACAUAAGCAGCAUGGAUACACCGUGAAUCGCGGAGUCGUUUGGGUUCUGAAAGACCCUUAAAGAUCAUGGACUAGCAGUGAAUUGCAGGCUGUUAAAUGCUUUAUUAAUCACCAAUUCCCGGCCGCAAAAUCUUGAUGGUGACUAGCAGAGCCCACAUUCAGAAAGCAGAGCAGCACUAGCAAGUUUUUUAAUCCAAGGUGCAAGCCGUGUAGGCUGGGAGCGUUACACAAGCGCAGCCGGGAUGGCGAGGCCACGGAGAAACGAGGUUCUUGCCUCAUUUUUGGGUCACAGACACUUGUUGCUACUUCUUGGGGGAAAAAAAAAAAAAAAAAAGACCCCCCCCUUGGGGGAAAAAAAAAAAAAAAAACGAGCAGAGCGGCGGUGAUUUUGUGGAGAUGCGGCGAAGCGCGCGAAGCGAUGGCUCCUGCCGGUGCCGACGCGGUGUCUGGUGACCUUUAGAGGUGACAGGGACCGCGCUGGCGCUCUCGGGUGCCCGCUGCCCCAUUCAUCCCGCACCGCCCGCGCCCUCCCCGUGCCCCCGGCGCUGCCGCUCCCCGGGCCGUCCCCGCUGUCCCCACCGCCCCUCGGCGGGCCCCCCCCCCCCCCCCCCCCCCCCCCCCCCCCCCCCCCCCCCCCCCCCCCCCCCCCCCCCCCCCCCCCCCCCCCCCCCCCCCCCCCCCCCC